RNAcentral lists this ribosomal RNA (253 nucleotides) under uncultured bacterium. RNAcentral describes it as "partial 16S ribosomal RNA". It matches the Rfam family "Bacterial small subunit ribosomal RNA", at positions 524 to 776 of the family's 1533-position model. The record is from RNAcentral.
UACGUAGGGGGCAAGCGUUGUCCGGAUUUAUUGGGCGUAAAGAGCGUGUAGGCGGUCAGGUAGGUCCGUUGUGAAAACUCGAGGCUCAACCUCGAGACGCCGAUGGAAACCAUCUGACUAGAGUCCGGAAGAGGAGAGUGGAAUUCCUGGUGUAGCGGUGAAAUGCGCAGAUAUCAGGAGGAACACCAAUGGCGAAGGCAGCUCGCUGGGACGGUACUGACGCUGAGACGCGAAAGCGUGGGGAGCAAACAGG